AAUUGCACAGACGUGUAAACAUAACUAAUCUUCGAAAAUAUAAAACAUCCUUAGCAGCUAUUUGUAAUGGUUCAAUCUUAACAGCUUCAUGUGAUUCUUCAAACUUCAUACUUGGAUUGCUCCAAAUUCCUCAGAAACAUUUUCCAUCUCGGAAGAACAAGUCUCAAUAAACUUCUUCUUGAUAGCACACAAAACAUAGUCUCUACGAUCUUCAUCAAACUGAUGGAGAAUAACAUUAGAG
Molecule: long non-coding RNA, 241 nt
Filed under: Capsicum annuum
Lineage: Eukaryota; Viridiplantae; Streptophyta; Magnoliopsida; Solanales; Solanaceae
Description: long non-coding RNA (CANN_LNC017128)
Source: RNAcentral